RNAcentral lists this ribosomal RNA (458 nucleotides) under Arabidopsis thaliana (thale cress). Lineage: Eukaryota; Viridiplantae; Streptophyta; Magnoliopsida; Brassicales; Brassicaceae. The record is from RNAcentral.
CUUGUGUUGGAGCCCUCUUUUUUUUUGUUUUUCUCUUUUUUUUUGGUUAAAAAUGAAUGACUCUAUAACCUUUAGACCGUGAGGCCAAACUUGGCAUGUGAUACUUUUUCGGAAAGCCCAAAGAGAUCUUCUCCGAUGAAUGAGGAAGGAAAAUUGAAUACUUCUAUUGGUGUUUUUUCUACUACAAAUUUUGACCUAAAUGUACUUUUUUGGGCUUUUUCGUGAUCUUUGCUUUAUUACGGGGGAAAAAUUGUGUGUUCGGACAUUGUUUUCCAAUAUUUUGCCAUGUAUCAAAGCUCUUAUAAAGAAGAUACGGUAUUCCUACAUAUCUGGUGGGACCCACGACAAAUGGAUCAUAAAGUCUUUAAAAAAGAAUAGAUACGAUUACAUUGCAUGUAGUAACAGAUGCGAUCAUACCAGCACUAAUGCACUUGAUCCCAUCAGAACUCCCCAGUUAA